AGAUCGCUUUGAGGACAAUUCCUCAACAAACCCUUGUAUCGCUCCCAUGCCUCAUACAAUGAUUCUCUCUUUUGUUGCUCGAAAUUUGGAACAACUUUCUUUAAUUU
This is a small nucleolar RNA of Lactuca sativa (garden lettuce), 107 nucleotides long. The record is from RefSeq and is a predicted model, not a curated record. NCBI's taxonomy places the organism in Eukaryota, Viridiplantae, Streptophyta, Magnoliopsida, Asterales, Asteraceae.